Molecule: ribosomal RNA, 534 nt
Filed under: uncultured bacterium
Lineage: Bacteria
Description: bacterial SSU rRNA
Rfam family: Bacterial small subunit ribosomal RNA
Source: RNAcentral
AGUCGAACGAGACGGCGUAGCAAUACGCUUGUACAGUGGCGAACGGGUGAGUAAGACGUGGGCAACCUACCCUCGAGUGGGGAAUAACCAGCCGAAAGGUUGGCUAAUACCGCAUACGCUGCUCCAUCCUCGGGUGGGGCAGGAAAGUCCGGCCGUGGGUCGGACGCUCUUGGAUGGGCUCAUGGCCUAUCAGCUAGUUGGUAGGGUAACGGCCUACCAAGGCUCCGACGGGUAGCUGGUCUGAGAGGACGAUCAGCCACACUGGCACUGCGACACGGGCCAGACUCCUACGGGAGGCAGCAGUGAGGAAUAUUGCGCAAUGGGCGAAAGCCUGACGCAGCGACGCCGCGUGGGGGAUGAAGGUCUUCGGAUUGUAAACCCCUUUCGGGAGGGAAGAUGGGUUGGGGUAACCCAACCGGACGGUACCUCCAGAAGCAGCCACGGCUAACUUCGUGCCAGCAGCCGCGGUAAUACGAAGGUGGCAAGCGUUGUUCGGAUUUACUGGGCGUACAGGGUGCGUAGGCGGUUCGGUAA